This 445-nucleotide ribosomal RNA is filed under the name uncultured bacterium. RNAcentral's name for it is "bacterial SSU rRNA". It matches the Rfam family "Bacterial small subunit ribosomal RNA", at positions 354 to 796 of the family's 1533-position model. The record is from RNAcentral.
GUGAGGAAUAUUGGUCAAUGGACGAGAGUCUGAACCAGCCAAGUAGCGUGAAGGAUGACUGCCCUAUGGGUUGUAAACUUCUUUUAUAUGGGAAUAAAGUAUUCCACGUGUGGAAUUUUGUAUGUACCAUAUGAAUAAGGAUCGGCUAACUCCGUGCCAGCAGCCGCGGUAAUACGGAGGAUCCGAGCGUUAUCCGGAUUUAUUGGGUUUAAAGGGAGCGUAGGUGGAUUGUUAAGUCAGUUGUGAAAGUUUGCGGCUCAACCGUAAAAUUGCAGUUGAAACUGGCAGUCUUGAGUACAGUAGAGGUGGGCGGAAUUCGUGGUGUAGCGGUGAAAUGCUUAGAUAUCACGAAGAACUCCGAUUGCGAAGGCAGCUCACUAGACUGCAACUGACACUGAUGCUCGAAAGUGUGGGUAUCAAACAGGAUUAGAUACCCUGGUAGUCC